This 3649-nucleotide long non-coding RNA is filed under the name Lytechinus variegatus (green sea urchin). RNAcentral describes it as "uncharacterized LOC121431931". The record is from RNAcentral. Lineage: Eukaryota; Metazoa; Echinodermata; Echinoidea; Temnopleuroida; Toxopneustidae.
ACCACUCCCUAUACGAUUUUGUACGUAGUGACAAAGGAGGAGAAAAAUAAGGAAGGAAAGGAGAGAAUUCAAGAAAAAGAAUUAAAAUGGAGAGGUCUGGACCAUGAACCUAUAAAACAUCCCUAUAAUUCAAUCUUUCGGUGCCCCCCAUCAAAAUAAUAUGGCGCCGCCCUUGAUUAUUAUUAUCAUUAAAAUUGAAAUCCAUUAAAAAAUAAUUAAUGGAAAUAAUCAGUUGGUUUAGAAAUCUUAUCAUGAUAAUAAAAUUAUUCGCUUCUAUUAUGAUUUGAAUAUUUGCAGCGUUAGUUUUUAUUGGCUCCACCGUAAUAGGCUAUAACAAUGGUUGAAAUAAUUCUAUCUAUUUCAUAGAAUGAAAAUCAGUCAGCGUAUUAUGGAGAGAUUACAUAAACUCGAUAGAUAUGUCGUUAAAAACAUAAAAUGAUAAACUAUAUUAUGUUAUUUGUAGGGCCAACACUCCAUCUGUCAAUUCCCCCCCCCCCUCACUCAGUAUAUUCGCUUCUAUUAUGAUUUGAAUAUUUACAGCGUUAGUUUUUAUUGGCUACACCAUAAAUAAUUCUGUGUAUUUCAUAGAAUGAAAAUCAGUCAGCGUAUUAUGAAGAGAUUAUAUAAACUCGAUGGAUAUGUCGUUAAAAACAUGAAAUGAUUAUGUAAUGUGAAACAUGUAAAAUAAUUAUGAUUGUGCAAAAUAAUCUAUACUCUCAGAGUAAAGCCAUUUUUGUUGACGCAAAAAAUAUCCGAUUUCUCAAACUGAAUUGAUAACAUUCAUUAAGUCAAAAUUAAAACAAACACUUAAUUGGCGCAAAAUGUUGGUAUUAUAUUCAUCUCAAAUUAAAGAACGUUGGGUAAAAAAAGCAAUCUGGUUUGAUAGAACGUUCUCUCUUUCUUUAAAUAGACGGGUUUACUAGAAAUGAAAUUCGUCUGUGAGAAGGUAUUUUAGUGAGAUUUGAGAUAUUUUAUGUUUAUUGAUUCUUAUAGUUCUAAAUAUGCAAUGAAGAACAUUCAUAUUAAAAAUACAUUGUAAAAAAUUCCACAACGAGUUCGAUGCCAAUAAUAUACAUACUAUAAAAAACUCGGAUGAAAGGAUAUUAAGGUGAAUAAAAGUGACUUUGUGUAAAAACAAAUGAAAUAGAGCAGACGGGCUUGCCAAGAAAAAGCCCAUGCUUGUAUGAUAAACAAACCCCCGUGUCUUACUUUCGAUAAUUAUAUGUAUUUUACAAAAUCAGUAAUACAAUAACGGAUAGAGACGGAAGAAGAUACCACCAAAAAAUAACAAUAUAUGAUAUAUCAAAAGUUAAAACGAAUGAAGUACAAACAUUCAUUAUAAAAAUAUAAUAUACGCUUGAGAGAAACAUUAUGCCAGUGCAGGCAGCAAAUAGUUUAACCAACCUAUUUAGAAACCAAAUGAUAAAGCUAUACAAUUUUUAUUCAUUCACUUAAAAUCCCCCUUCGUCAUCAUACCAAUAUGGUAUAAGCAAUAAAUGUCAAACUAAAAUAUUUCGCGUGACACAGAACAAAAUAUCGAAUAUAACUUAUAGACUAACUUGCCAGAAAUCCAUUUCCAAACGACAAAAACCUUAGUAUUCACGAAGAGAACAAAUUACUUUAUUUACCAAACAGAAGACUUCAAUGACAUUUAUAUGGGGACAGUUAUCAUGGUUAUUGUUUUUCUAUCAAUGAAAUAUUUACAAAGUAUCCUUUUCAGUCUCAAUAGUUCUACAAGGUUGAACUUCAAAAUUCAUGUGUACGAAGUUUUCUUUUAGUGCUAUAAAUACACUGUAAUUGUUACUUUAUUCAGCAUUUCGACAAAAAAGCAAUUUACUUGAGAAAAAAUGUACAUACACAAAAAGGACAAGGAUGUUUACUAUAUCUCAAGGGGCCCGUGACACAGAGCUUAGCAAUGAUCGUAGAACGUUUUUUACGACUGAUUCCAGUGACUUUACAAUGUACAAUCAAUCGUAAAAAUCAAGUAUACGAUUGAUCGCUAACCUGUGUGUUACUUUGAAUUAAUAUUCUCAGCCCACAGGCUUUCCGCCCCAACCUGGACUUGUAAGGCAACAUCCACAAGAAUAAAACACAUUCAUAUACAUUUUGUUAUACAUUAAUAAUUCAGAUAUAGAAAUCGCAUUUUAAAAUUGAAUUAAUAUGUAUGAGAUCAAGAAAAUGUAAUGGAAUUAGAAACAAAACAUGGGUCAACUUUAAGCUUAUCAAAAAGGUUUGAAAUUUAUAUUUCAUGGUAAAAUUUUUAUUUUUUCAGGUAAAUAAAUUAUUCAAUUCAUGUAUUUGAAGAUGUCUUAGCAUUAAAAUGAAGAAUUAAAAAAAAAAAAUCUUGCAAUUCAAAUGGUUUCGAAUAAGUAACCAAAGUGUUUCGCCGGCGAAAAGUUUGUUUGAAUUUAUAUAAUAUCAAUAUUGAAAGCGUUUAAUUAUUUGAAUUUAUUUCCCUUCAUUUAUUUAGGACACCGUAUAGAAUGACAUGCGAUAUUUUGUUAUGCAAAUUAAGUCCGCUUAGUGGAGUUUGGUGCAUAGGUGCGUUGACGUGUCACUCCAUUUUUGAAAGGUUCAGGAGUCAGACGCCAGUAUCGGCCUCCGCAGUUUGGGGGAAACUUUCUGUUGUUUAAUGUGAUUUAAACGUGGUUUUAUGUCCCGCCAGAAAAGAAUCGAAUAAAAUAUACGUUUAACGACGUUAUAUAUCGGUACGGCGGGAUGUGACUGUUUGUGUUCCUUCUUUCGACUAUCCACAAAGAAAUUAAAAGGUCAUUAUGGAAUUGUGCAUGUGCGCGCGCAUCUAAAAUCAGAGUUUAUCAGGUUUAUAUACAUACAGUGUUCAAAUUACGCAACAUAGAGAGAAUAUAAUUAUGUACAUUCCAAUAUAUUCAUAUACAUGCAAGACAUGUCAAUAACAACAUUUAGAAAGUAAUCAAUUUAGAAAAGCGAAUAUCAAAUUAGUGCAUUGAUUCAUUUUAACUACUAUUCAAUGCUUCAUUAUCAGAGUACAUCAUGCUAUCAUUAUACCUUUGAACAGAGAAAGACCUUAUAGUAUGUCAGAUACAUCAUCUUAUAUUACAUAAUUUACAAUAUAAUAUAUUUAUAUUAAGUCAAUAUAUUUCAAUAACCAUUCAAUGUUUCAUAAUCGGAGUAUUAUGUUACCCUUACACUAUAUUUAAAUGAAGACCUUCUAGUAUAUCACAACACAUCAUCUUCUAUUACAAAACAUACAGUACUUAUCAUCAUCAUUCUAUUGCGUCUUAAGUAAAUAUAACAAAGAGAGAAAUCGCUCUCUCAUUUUAUUUUCUUAUUAUUUAUUCUUCGUUUUGUUUGCUGGACAACUAUGUGCUUUUGUGUUUGUUUUCUUUUCAUAAUCUAUUCUAAAGCAAAAAAAAAAUAUGAUUAGUUUUCUCCAGAAAAAUAUCUUAUGUAUAAUGUUUGGAUAGAAUCAGUUUUCAAGAGAUACAUUCUCAUCAGGGAGGUGGGAAAAAACUUAUUUUUAUCCAUCUCUAUGAUUCUAAUGUUGUUCGUAGAGCAUGUCCGGAUUCUCUCGAAAGAGGGCGUUAUGAAACAAACGGCAAUUUAGGGACGUUUUAGGAUAAUAACCUUCCUCUAAUUAACGUCUAAAAUAAUUUUUUUGUACAAUUAA